GUAGGUGGCAAGCGUUGUCCGGAAUUAUUGGGCGUAAAGCGCGCGCAGGCGGUUCUUUAAGUCUGAUGUGAAAGCCCACGGCUCAACCGUGGAGAGUCAUUGGAAACUGGAGAACUUGAGUACAGAAGAGGAAAGCGGAAUUCCACGUGUAGCGGUGAAAUGCGUAGAGAUGUGGAGGAACACCAGUGGCGAAGGCGGCUUUCUGGUCUGUAACUGACGCUGAGGCGCGAAAGCGUGGGGGAGCAAACAGGAUUAGAUACCCUGGUAGUCCACGCCGUAAACGAUGAGUGCUAAGUGUUAGGGGGUUUCCGCCCCUUAGUGCUGCAGCUAACGCAUUAAGCACUCCGCCUGGGAGUACGGCCGCAAGGCUG
Molecule: ribosomal RNA, 371 nt
Filed under: uncultured organism
Description: partial 16S ribosomal RNA
Rfam family: Bacterial small subunit ribosomal RNA
Source: RNAcentral